Molecule: ribosomal RNA, 253 nt
Filed under: uncultured bacterium
Lineage: Bacteria
Description: partial 16S ribosomal RNA
Rfam family: Bacterial small subunit ribosomal RNA
Source: RNAcentral
UACGUAGGGUGCGAGCGUUAAUCGGAAUUACUGGGCGUAAAGCGUGCGCAGGCGGUUAUGCAAGACAGAUGUGAAAUCCCCGGGCUCAACCUGGGAACUGCAUUUGUGACUGCAUGACUGGAGUACGGCAGAGGGGGAUGGAAUUCCGCGUGUAGCAGUGAAAUGCGUAGAUAUGCGGAGGAACACCGAUGGCGAAGGCAGUCCCCUGGGCCUGUACUGACGCUCAUGCACGAAAGCGUGGGGAGCAAACAGG